GACGAACGCUGGCGGCGUGCCUAAUACAUGCAAGUCGAGCGGAACUGGGGGAGCUUGCUCCUUCCAGUUUAGCGGCGGACGGGUGAGUAACACGUGGGCAACCUGCCCUGCAGAUCGGGAUAACUCCGGGAAACCGGUGCUAAUACCGAAUAGUUUGGCGCCUAUCCUGAGGCGCUACGGCAAGACGGUUUCGGCUGUCACUGCAGGAUGGGCCGGCGGCGCAUUAGCUAGUUGGUGGGGUAACGGCCCACCAAGGCGACGAUGCGUAGCCGACCUGAGAGGGUGACCGGCCACACUGGGACUGAGACACGGCCCAGACUCCUACGGGAGGCAGCAGUAGGGAAUCUUCCGCAAUGGACGCAAGUCUGACGGAGCAACGCCGCGUGAGUGACGAAGGUUUUCGGAUCGUAAAACUCUGUUGUGAGGGAAGAACACGUACCAACUAACUAUUGGUACCUUGACGGUACCUCACCAGAAAGCCACGGCUAACUACGUGCCAGCCGCCGCCGUAA
This 512-nucleotide ribosomal RNA is filed under the name uncultured bacterium. RNAcentral's name for it is "partial 16S ribosomal RNA". It matches the Rfam family "Bacterial small subunit ribosomal RNA", at positions 28 to 523 of the family's 1533-position model. The record is from RNAcentral.